Molecule: long non-coding RNA, 422 nt
Filed under: Ananas comosus (pineapple)
Lineage: Eukaryota; Viridiplantae; Streptophyta; Magnoliopsida; Poales; Bromeliaceae
Description: long non-coding RNA (ACOM_LNC034680)
Source: RNAcentral
AAUGGCACUGACGAAUUUCAGAUUCGAUGCACGGUUUUCGAGAAAAAGGAGUUUUACCGAAAAGAGGGUUUCUGCUCUUUGCUAUUCGUGCAUUUUAAAACUCCUCGUGCUUUGUACAAGUGAUCUGGAGAUAGGUGAGAGUUGUUUCUGGUACCUACUGGUGGUAGGGAAUUCAAAUUUGAAUUUGAAUUAAAGAUUUAGGGUUAUGCUUUGGUAUAUGUGCGAUAUACGGAUUAACUAGAGAGCGGAUGGGUUCCGUCGCGAAUCCGUGACCAAAUCGGACGAAUCAACAUUGUAGUUUUGAUGCCCCCGACGUGCUGAACGCAAUGGUACUGUCGGAUCGAAAAUCCGACGGAUGGAUCUCCGGGAAUUACGAGAUUUUCGCUGAGGGGUCAAUGUGGCAAAACGGAUAAAUCGCGAAG